Long non-coding RNA from Myxocyprinus asiaticus (Chinese sucker), 489 nucleotides. RefSeq lists it as uncharacterized. NCBI's taxonomy places the organism in Eukaryota, Metazoa, Chordata, Actinopteri, Cypriniformes, Catostomidae. The record is from RefSeq and is a predicted model, not a curated record. The transcript is spliced from 3 exons.
CAAGAGAUAUAGGAGAGUUUUUCAGAACUACUUUUGAAGCGAACAGCUUAAAUAAGAAACAAACUGAUCAAAACGUUAAAAUUACCCUUUAAUAUAAAAUUCUUCUUUUUUUUUUUUUCUUUUUUUUUUAUAGCUCGAUGGGACAUGAGAUGGCCUUUGAUGCAGCUUUGCAGUUUAGAAGUAUUAAAACAGGCUGAUUUGAACUCUGUUGGAGGAAGACGCAGGGUUUAUCCACAUUCAUUUGCGCUCGCUGGAUAAAGUGGAAUACAAAGUACAGUGGUACAGUCAUACUGUAGUUUUAGAGGCGUGAUGAUCAUGUCAAGCGGCAGACAGUCGCCGCCUGAUGACAUCUACCAUCUGUUAUCAACAGAUGAUGGGGAUUACUGCAGCCACUGAGGCAUUUUUCUAAUGUGUUAAGUUCCAGGUCUCAGAGUGUGAAUGUUUUAUAUUACAAAAGAAUUACUUAUAGUUUAUUCACCUAGUUGCUGC